Molecule: ribosomal RNA, 253 nt
Filed under: uncultured bacterium
Lineage: Bacteria
Description: partial 16S ribosomal RNA
Rfam family: Bacterial small subunit ribosomal RNA
Source: RNAcentral
UACGUAGGGUGCGAGCGUUGUCCGGAUUUAUUGGGCGUAAAGCGCGCGCAGGUGGUUUCUUAAGUCUGAUGUGAAAGCCCACGGCUCAACCGUGGAGGGUCAUUGGAAACUGGGGAACUUGAGUGCAGAAGAGGAAAGUGGAAUUCCAAGUGUAGCGGUGAAAUGCGUAGAGAUUUGGAGGAACACCAGUGGCGAAGGCGACUUUCUGGUCUGUAACUGACACUGAGGCGCGAAAGCGUGGGGAGCGAACAGG